Molecule: ribosomal RNA, 378 nt
Filed under: uncultured Thermovirga sp.
Lineage: Bacteria; Thermotogati; Synergistota; Synergistia; Synergistales; Thermovirgaceae
Description: bacterial SSU rRNA
Rfam family: Bacterial small subunit ribosomal RNA
Source: RNAcentral
GAAGGACUUACUCUUCGGGGUGAGAGCGUACACAGGUGCUGCAUGGCUGUCGUCAGCUCGUGUCGUGAGAUGUUGGGUAAGUCCCGCAACGAGCGCAACCCUGCAUUCAGUUGCCAUCGGUAAGGCCGGGCACUCUGGAUGGACUGCCGGCGACAAGCCGGAGGAAGUGGGGACGACGUCAAGUCAUCAUGGCCCUUAUGUCCAGGGCGACACACGUGCUACAAUGGCCGGCACAACGGGAAGCGAAGGGGCGACCCUGAGCGGAUCCCACAAAAGCCGGUCUCAGUUCGGAUUGCAGUCUGCAACUCGACUGCAUGAAGUUGGAAUCGCUAGUAAUCGUGGAUCAGCCAAGCCGCGGUGAAUACGUUCCCGGGCCUU